UGUUUCGACACACUAUCAUUAACUGAAUCCAUAGGUUAAUGAGGCGAACCGGGGGAACUGAAACAUCUAAGUACCCCGAGGAAAAGAAAUCAACCGAGAUUCCCCCAGUAGCGGCGAGCGAACGGGGAGCAGCCCAGAGCCUGAAUCAGUGUGUGUGUUAGUGGAAGCGUCUGGAAAGGCGCGCGAUACAGGGUGACAGCCCCGUACACAAAAAUGCACAUACUGUGAGCUCGAUGAGUAGGGCGGGACACGUGGUAUCCUGUCUGAAUAUGGGGGGACCAUCCUCCAAGGCUAAAUACUCCUGACUGACCGAUAGUGAACCAGUACCGUGAGGGAAAGGCGAAAAGAACCCCGGCGAGGGGAGUGAAAAAGAACCUGAAACCGUGUACGUACAAGCAGUGGGAGCACGCUUAGGCGUGUGACUGCGUACCUUUUGUAUAAUGGGUCAGCGACUUAUAUUCUGUAGCAAGGUUAACCGAAUAGGGGAGCCGAAGGGAAACCGAGUCUUAACUGGGCGUUAAGUUGCAGGGUAUAGACCCGAAACCCGGUGAUCUAGCCAUGGGCAGGUUGAAGGUUGGGUAACACUAACUGGAGGACCGAACCGACUAAUGUUGAAAAAUUAGCGGAUGACUUGUGGCUGGGGGUGAAAGGCCAAUCAAACCGGGAGAUAGCUGGUUCUCCCCGAAAGCUAUUUAGGUAGCGCCUCGUGAAUUCAUCUCCGGGGGUAGAGCACUGUUUCGGCAAGGGGGUCAUCCCGACUUACCAACCCGAUGCAAACUGCGAAUACCGGAGAAUGUUAUCACGGGAGACACACGGCGGGUGCUAACGUCCGUCGUGAAGAGGGAAACAACCCAGACCGCCAGCUAAGGUCCCAAAGUCAUGGUUAAGUGGGAAACGAUGUGGGAAGGCCCAGACAGCCAGGAUGUUGGCUUAGAAGCAGCCAUCAUUUAAAGAAAGCGUAAUAGCUCACUGGUCGAGUCGGCCUGCGCGGAAGAUGUAACGGGGCUAAACCAUG
Molecule: ribosomal RNA, 1015 nt
Filed under: Escherichia coli
Lineage: Bacteria; Pseudomonadati; Pseudomonadota; Gammaproteobacteria; Enterobacterales; Enterobacteriaceae
Description: partial 23S ribosomal RNA
Rfam family: Bacterial large subunit ribosomal RNA
Source: RNAcentral